RNAcentral lists this small RNA (757 nucleotides) under Oryza sativa Japonica Group (Japanese rice). RNAcentral describes it as "sRNA Os01g0857100". The record is from RNAcentral. Lineage: Eukaryota; Viridiplantae; Streptophyta; Magnoliopsida; Poales; Poaceae.
UAGCUUUUAUGUGUUGAUGCAUUGCCACUUUAAAUACUUUUUUGAGUUCUGUCGUUCUAAAUUAUAUUUGCAUCAGGCAUUGCACUGACUUGCACGCAGAUGUGAUAAAUGAGGCACCUGCUGGCUUGCAAAGAUUGUAGUGUUGUACAUUUCAUAUGUAUAUAUCUACAUGAUAUUGUGCUUUAUUGCAGAAAAUCUGUCUAAUAGGAAUUGUGUAUACUAAUCUAACUAGGAUCUGACUUUUGACAUUUGCACAAUUAUUGGGAAUACUAAAGAUGCCUCUGUGUUUCGAGGUUGCUGCCUCAAGCCUGCAACAAGCCCGAAUCACAUUCUCCUAGAAUGCUCCACCAGCAUGACUUUGUCCAAAAUUAAUGUCCCAACAUUAAUUGCACUAGCAAGCUUGAACCAAGAAGCUGCCUUAUAAAAUUCUACCUGUUUCAGCCGGCCUCAUAAUAUUGUGCAAAUUUGAAGUUGUUCCUGAAGUGGCCAAAACACCCCCGUAAACUAGGUUUGAUAUUUAAUGGCAGGUGAGCUUCAAGUCUGCUGACAUGAACAUGAGAUGUAAAUAUACUCCUUAACAUCGACUAAAAGGGGGGACAUUCCUAUGCACACAUGCUUCAGGUGCACUUUGUGCACAACAACUAACCAAUGUCACCAGAAAAUCUUAAAUAAAAUUGUUCAUUUACUUCUAAUCUUACUCCACCUAUAUAUAAGUUUUGGAAUUCAAAUCCAUUAAAUAUCAGCGGUUACCAAAAGG